AAGACACAGAAGGUAACUGAAACAAUGUGGUUUAAGUCAAGGUGAUUAUUAGGGGUCCAAGCACAUUGGUUUGUGUAGAUGAUGCAGUUACACAAUGAACGUGUCUCUUUUCAAGUAAAUUAUGAGUCCUUAUGUGAGUACUAUUAUAUGCACAACAUGAAAAUAUAUAACUAAUAUAGUGUCCCUUCUACACUUUUUCCGUAAUGUGUGAUAACUUGAAAAAUAUGUUGUCAAUACAAUUAAAAUAACAAAGUAAUGGUAUUUAGGAGAUGAUAGCUUUUGCAUAAUUACUAUAUUGGGCUUUAUUAAAGUUUAUGAAAAAAGAAUGAAUGUUUAUGCAUUUUUUAUUUAUGCACAUAAAUGAAACAUUUUCAAGUCUUUGAACAGAUCUUGAAGUAUUUGCUAUCCUGUGGCGCCAUCGAGUGGAUAACAUUAGCAUUGUGGCCUUCAUUUUUGAACAACAUUAUGAAAGGGACCAAUAUUUUUUGAAUGAUUAUAAAUAUUUAAUGAUUAGUUUACUGAUAAUAUACCCACAUUAAAAUCUAAUUUACUGAUUCUGUGUCUUAUUUCAUGCUUAAUCAUGAGUUUAAUUUUCAAUUUACAUUUUUAAGCAGUGUUGAAUGAUUACUAUGUGAGUUGCUAUUUUUUUUUUUUUUUUGUUUUGUUUUUUUAUUUUUUUUUUUUUUUUUUUUUUUUAGGAUUUACAUUUAAAAAAAUGAGCCUACUUCAAACAUUUUAAGCAGCUUGAACAAAACCUGUUAAUAUUU
This is a long non-coding RNA of Cyprinus carpio carpio, 767 nucleotides long. NCBI's taxonomy places the organism in Eukaryota, Metazoa, Chordata, Actinopteri, Cypriniformes, Cyprinidae. The record is from Ensembl.